AUACGGAGGAUGCAAGCGUUAUCCGGAUUUAUUGGGUUUAAAGGGUGCGUAGGCGGAUGAUUAAGCGUGAGGUGAAAUGCCACUGCUCAACAGUGGAACUGCCUCGCGAACUGGUUGUCUUGAAUGCUCCUGCCGUGGGAGGAAUGUGUGGUGUAGCGGUGAAAUGCAUAGAGAUCACACAGAACACCGAUUGCGAAGGCAUCUCACGAAGGGGUGAUUGACGCUGAGGCACGUAAGCGUGGGGAUCAAACAGGAUUAGAUACCCUGGUAGUCCACGCAGUAAACGAUGAUAACUAACCGCUGGGUCGUAGUGAUUCAGUGGCCAAGCGAAAGCGAUAAGUUAUCCACCUGGGGAGUACGACCGCAAGGUUGAAACUCAAAGGAAUUGACGGG
This 393-nucleotide ribosomal RNA is filed under the name uncultured bacterium. Its description in RNAcentral is "partial 16S ribosomal RNA". It matches the Rfam family "Bacterial small subunit ribosomal RNA", at positions 523 to 917 of the family's 1533-position model. The record is from RNAcentral.